RNAcentral lists this long non-coding RNA (3460 nucleotides) under Triticum aestivum (bread wheat). Its description in RNAcentral is "long non-coding RNA (TAES_LNC006411)". The record is from RNAcentral. Lineage: Eukaryota; Viridiplantae; Streptophyta; Magnoliopsida; Poales; Poaceae.
AUCAGUACCAAUUAGUAUUGAUUACACAAUUAUGUACUACGCAACCAUUUGAUUCAUAUAUUUUAAGGCCUUAUAUACAUACAGAAUGGAGGGGGAUUUAAUCCAUAUCAAAAUGCAUCAUGGGGGUUCAUUUUCAAUUGAAGGACCACUUACUUAUCAUGGUGGUGAAUUGUCUAUUUUUCGAGACUGUGACAGUCAGCGUACAUCGUAUUUUCGUCUAGUUCGCAUGGCUAAAGACGUAGGUUUCAAGGAUGGUGAUGAGUUAUAUUAUACAAUCCCUGGAUGUAGCCUUGAUGAAGGAAUUGAUUUAAUUCAUGAUGACAAUUCUGUUGUUAAGAUGUUGAACUUUGCAAAGAAACACAACUUUGCCGAGAUCUAUGUUAAACAUAAAGGCAAUGAAAAUACUUCCGCUGAUCCAAGAUCUGGUCUGGGCAAUAAGGAUAAACUUCCAGCAGAGGUACUUUACUAAAAAAACAAGUUAUUUUAUCCAUGCUUUAUUUUCCUUGGUUGCUCAUGUGUGACUUCUUGGUUGCUUUGUUGCUUGGCUGUGUUUGAUUUCUUUUACAUUUGUGUGGUAUUUAUUGUAUUCUACCAUAUUUCUUAUAGCUGAUUGUGUGGUACUCUUACCUAAUUUUGUUCACAGACAUGGCAUGUCCACCAACAAAUCGGGAAAGCAUAAUCUUGUGGCACACAUUGAGACAACGCAGAGUGAAAAUACUUAUAGUUUUAUAUGUUCUAGUGCAAAUCUUCAUGAUGUUACUUAGGAGGGCUCGAUAUAGGAUGUGUCGAAUUAGGAAGCCUUCUCCGUAUGACCCGAUAACUCGAUCACAAACCCUGAACAACAAGAUACAAGUAAGCGCUAUAGAAUGCAUUUUACAACUACGGAUGGAUAGGCGUUGUUUCAGAGUGUUAUGUUCGUUGGUAAGAAAAAUAGGUGGGUUAAAGGAUACUAGGCACAUGAGCGUGGAAGAAACGGUUGCCAUGUUCCUUCACAUAGUUGCACAUGAUGAAAAAAAUCGAGCAAUCCCAUCAUGAUUUCCAGCGUUCACUUGAAUCAGUAAGUUGCAAAUUCCAUGAAGUACUAGGCGCGGUUUUGAAACUCUAGAAAGUGUUGCUUAAGAAGCCUCGACCAAUUCCAGCCAAUUGCAUGGAUGGAAGAUGGAAGUACUUUAAGGUAUCAAACUAAUAGUUUCACAUAAAAACACUUGUAGGUCUAGUUUUGUUCAUGGUCUAACACAUUGUUUUUCUAAUAUAGAACUGUUUAGGUGCCUUAGAUGGGACGUAUAUAGAAGUUCAUGUGCCCAAAACUGACAAACCAAGAUUUCGUUCAAGAAAGAAUGAAGUUGCAACAAAUGUUCUUGGUGUAUGUGCGCCAGACAUGCAAUUCAUUUAUGUAUAUCUGGGUUGGGAAGGAUCUGCGGCUGAUGGGAGGGUCCUUCGAGAUGUUUUAUCAAAAUCAAAUGGCCUUCAGGUUCCUCGGGGUAAGAGAUAAUACAAAAAUGGUCCAUGUUUGUUAGACAUAUAUGUUGUAUACAUAGCUGACAAACCCAUAUGUACGUUUCAAUUGCAUAGGGUGCUAUUAUCUAGUUGAUGCUGGGUACAAGAACUGUGAAGGGUUUCUUGCUCCAUACAGAGGGCAACGGUACCAUCUAAAUGAUUGGAAAAAAAACCCCAACAAAAAAGAGGAAUUGUAUAACAUGCCGCAUUCGUCAGCUAGAAAUGUGAUUUAGAGGACUUUCGGAUUGCUCAAGAUGCGACGGGCUAUCAUUAGGAACCCCUCUUAUUAUCCUUUUGAUACACAAGUUGAUAUUAUUCUAGUAUGCUGCUAUAUUCACAACCUGAUACGACAACAAAUACGUGUUGAUCCCUGUGAGCAAUAUCUAGAUGAGUACAUGCUACACCUUCAGCAGCAGCAAGAAUAUGAGGAUCUCAUUCAGUCCACCGAAACAUCUUCACAGUGGACUGAGAAAAGAGACAAGUUAGUUGAUGAAAUGUGGAAAGCGUGGAUAGCAAAAAGACAAGAUCGUUGAUACAUGUAGUACAUCUUUAGUUGUAGGACAUUAAGUGCUUGUUCAUCAACAUAUGUGUGUCCAAUCAUUUUUCUUUGCUAUUUGUUUUCUCCCAUAUGUCACAGUGGCUUAUGUUUUAGUUCAUCCACUAUUCUGUAAUGAUAGGAGAGAAUGAUUAAUGAAUGAACAUCAUAUUUCCUAUAUGAGCAUCUAUAUUCUUUACUUUAUGUACACACAUAUUUUAUUGUCAUAUUGAAACUAUCAGAAUACCAAGUCAAAGGAGAGCAAGUUUGCAUCGAAAAAGAGAGACAAGAGAACAUGGACAGCGGAGGAGGAGAAGUUACUUAUUGAAAUUCUAUAUAACAUGAAUGAUUCUUCUUGGAAAGUAGAUACCGGUCACAAGUCCGGAUAUCUGACCUACAUUGAGAAGGAAAUGGCGAAAGUACUACCACAUGCUGAUCUUAAAGCGGAUCCGCAUAUCAAGUCUAAGGUUAAGAUUUUCAAGAAGCAACUUUCUUAUGUUCUAGAAAUUAUGCAAAAUUCUAGUGGGUUUGGAUGGGAUGAUGAGAAGAAAAUGGUAACUGGAUAUAGGGAGACGUAUAUGGGCUGGGCAAAGGUACAGUAUAUUCAUUCAGUAUGUAAAUAAAUCAGCUUUGUUUCAUGUGAUUUUCGAUUGUACUCAAGUUUCUAAUGGAAAUUCAUGUUUUUUCAAGUCCCGUGAGGGAGCAGGUUCUCUCUACAUGAAGCCUAUGGUUAACUUUGACAAGUUAUGUGAGGUAUAUGCUACUGAUUUGGCUAAAGGAGGUAGUGUUAAAGGUCCUGGAGAAGAAGAAACUCCAGAAGUUGGAUCAACGGCAGAGACACAACCUACUAGCGAACAUGCCAAGGAGAAUCUUCCUGAAUCUCAUGAGAACACGAACCCACUUGGUAGUUCUAGGCCUGGUCGGAAGAGAACAUAUAUUGAUGAUGAUGCACUUGAGUCAGGUCUUAUAAGUGUGUCCAAUACAAUUGCAAAGUUCCUGGAAGCAAAGCAGGAGAAUGCUAAAACCAUGAAUGGUUUACAGAGGGCAUUUAUGCAUGAAGCACAAGUUCAUGAGCAAACAUCAGCCAACAGAACCAAGUUACUUGAGAUUCUCCAAAAUCUUAAAGGUCUCACUACUGAAGAGGUUGUCAUGGUUGUUCGUGUCAUUGGUGGUGAUGCUGGAAAGACCGAACUUUUCAUCCAAUUACGUGAUGAUUACAAAGUGGUGUUUGUUCGUCAGGAGCUUGAGGCGGCCAAAAAAUAAGUGAAAAUCUAGAUUUACAUUCUGCAUUGGUAGUUUAAUAUUUUUAGGUCGGGAUUACUUGUUUACUUGAAAACUCAUCAGUAACAAUAUUUGAUUUUUGCCACUUUAUUUGUACAUCGUCUUCUCCUAUACAAACUGUUGUUUGUUAUAUAAAUACCACAUUAC